Molecule: long non-coding RNA, 974 nt
Organism: Saccostrea cuccullata (small rock oyster)
Lineage: Eukaryota; Metazoa; Mollusca; Bivalvia; Ostreida; Ostreidae
Exons: 3
Source: RefSeq, a predicted model, not a curated record
UACAGCCAUUAUUCAGUCGUAUUUGUGGAGAAAGCGAACGACAAUCCAUCGUUUGUUUACAUCGGAAGCCAUUUUGCCGCAAUGCAUGACGGAGCCAAAGACUUCUUUUUUGGAGUUCACGCCGUUUUUGGAGUUCGUCUAGACUGUUUUUGGAGGAUCGAGAAGGACGAAGAAGAAGGUGUAAGCAGCUAGUAAAUGUGAAAAGUUAAGAUGGUUUCACCACCCAGUGUCUUUAAGACUGUGAUAAAUGCAAUGGCCAACGAUGAAGGAUUAGUGUACGAAUAUUUUUGUUAACUUUUUACGGUAAAUAGUUGUAAUAUUUGGCAACAACAAAUCUUCACUAUCGGAGGCAACUUUUGUUCUGACGCCAUUUUGAAAAGUUGGAUACCUAAGUUUUAAAUUGUUAAGUGUAUAUAUUGCAGAGAGAAAGAGAGAGAGAGAGAGAAAUUUAAGACAGUGAUACAGCAUAACUUAGAUUAUGGAGGCCCCAAAGGCACCGUGCAUGUGCAUGCUGUAUGUUGUAAAAUGGCAACGUUUCGCCUUUUAUCAUGUUUAUUAAAACGUAUGCUCCAUAUGUAUGUUCUCUCUCUAUAUAUAAAUGAAUACUUUUCGGAAUUAAAAAAAAAUAUUUUUAACCCCGCUCAAAUUAUCCGGAUGAUAAUAGUUACACCGAGCAUGGUUUCGUAGUUAAAUUCAGACUGUAGAACAUCCGGUUUGAAUACAUGUGUUUUCUGACUUUUCGGAUAGCCAACUCUUGUUUUUUUGGAACUUACGACUUAUGGCAAGAGAGAAGAAAACUGUGUGACUUUAAAAGAAAACUAGUGAGAUAAAAUCAUAGAAAAUGUAUGAUGAUUCAGGAUGUGGUCAUUUGUGACAUUAAAACAGGAAUUGUCAUCACCAAUAGACGAAUUUCACAUUCCUAAGAGUUUUCUCCAAUUGUCGGUGUAUCGCUCAUUUUUCCCACUUUGUCCUUU